Molecule: long non-coding RNA, 1062 nt
Filed under: Coturnix japonica (Japanese quail)
Lineage: Eukaryota; Metazoa; Chordata; Aves; Galliformes; Phasianidae
Description: lncRNA (ENSCJPG00005005416.1)
Source: RNAcentral
UGUUUCAGCUCUGCUAAGUAUUCUGAUCGACAUGGUUGCUCCCCGGCGGAAGGCUGCUGCCAGAAAUACUGAGGAGGCCCAGACAAGGGUCCCAAGCUCUCAGAAACGGGAGGCAGCAACCAAGAAGACUGCAGAGACCCAGACUGAGGUCCUGCACAUUCCCUAUAGGAAGGCUGCUGCCAAAAAGUCUGAGGAGACUCAGACUGAGCCCCCAGCCCGAGAUGCUGGUGUGCAGGUCUCUGGCUGUACUGAGUGCCAGAGCCUGGCCCUUGCAGUGCUGGGUGAGGGAGGUAGUGAUUGUGUUCACUGCGACCAGGUGAACUACUUGCUCAGCCUCGUAGUUGACCUGAAGGAGGAAGUGGGGAGGCUGAGGACUAUAAAAGAGUGUGAGAGGGAGAUUGACUGGUGGCGUCAGUCCCUCUCAGCCUCAGGUUCUCUGCACACAGCUGAGGCUCCUAAUGGAGCAUGUCAGCCCCGGCCACCUCACAAACAGGUGGUAAAGGGGAACCAGCCAGCUGACAGCACUGCGGUGAGCCCCCUGUUCUCUCUUCCCCCCAGCAGCAAUUUGAGAAGGGAGGAGGAGUGGAAACAGGUACCUGCUUGGCAGAGGGGUCAUCCCACAUCCCGACCAUCCCCGGCUCCACAGGUGCCUCUGCGUAACAGGUUUGAGGCCCUGGAACUUGAGAGGGGGACUAGUGAGAGGGUGGAGACAGGUUCACCCAUGAGGUUGCCUCAGGCGAAGCGGUCAACCCCAAGCCUCAAGACUGCUUCUACCCAUAAAGACAGAAGGGUGAUUGUUGUCGGUGACUCCCUUCUGCAAGGAACAGAAGGCCCUAUAUGCCGGCCCAACCCUACCCGCAGAGGUGUGCUGCCUUCCUGGGGCAUGGGUCAGGGACAUUUCAAAGAUAAUUCCUGGAUUGAUUCAGCCUUCAGAUUACUACCCACUUUUAAUAAUUCAGUAUGGCAGUGAAGAAGUUGAUAAGGAAAGCCUGAGGUCUAUCAAGAAAGACUUCAGGGGAAUGGGGCGAAUACUUGAAGGAGCCGGGGUGCAGGUGGUCUUAU